AAGCGGUGGAGCAUGUGGUUUAAUUCGACGCAACGCGAAGAACCUUACCAGGAAUUGACAUCCCCUGACAACUUAUGAAAGUAGGUCUUCGUACCUUCGGGUAGACAGGGAGACAGGUGGUGCAUGGUUGUCGUCAGCUCGUGUCGUGAGAUGUUGGUUAAGUCCCGCAACGAGCGCAACCCUUACGGUUAGUUGCCAGCGGUUAAAGCCGGGCACUCUAGCUGAACUGCCGUUGACAAAACGGAGGAAGGUGGGGAUGACGUCAAAUCAUCAUGCCCUUUAUAUCCUGGGCUACACACGUGCUACAAUGGCCUGUACAGAGGGCAGCGAAGGGGCAACCUGGAGCGAAUCCCAAAAAGCAGGUCUCAGUUCGGAUUGCAGGCUGCAACUCGCCUGCAUGAAGUCGGAAUCGCUAGUAAUCGCAGGUCAGCAUACUGCGGUGAAUACGUUCCCGGGCCUU
RNAcentral lists this ribosomal RNA (460 nucleotides) under uncultured Desulfotomaculum sp. Its description in RNAcentral is "bacterial SSU rRNA". It matches the Rfam family "Bacterial small subunit ribosomal RNA", at positions 927 to 1382 of the family's 1533-position model. Lineage: Bacteria; Bacillati; Bacillota; Clostridia; Eubacteriales; Desulfotomaculaceae. The record is from RNAcentral.